ACCUGCGGAGGGAUCAUUACCGAGUUUACAACUCCCAAACCCCUGUGAACAUACCAAUUGUUGCCUCGGCGGAUCAGCCCGCUCCCGGUAAAACGGGACGGCCCGCCAGAGGACCCCUAAACUCUGUUUCUAUAUGUAACUUCUGAGUAAAACCAUAAAUAAAUCAAAACUUUCAACAACGGAUCUCUUGGUUCUGGCAUCGAUGAAGAACGCAGCAAAAUGCGAUAAGUAAUGUGAAUUGCAGAAUUCAGUGAAUCAUCGAAUCUUUGAACGCACAUUGCGCCCGCCAGUAUUCUGGCGGGCAUGCCUGUUCGAGCGUCAUUUCAACCCUCAAGCCCCCGGGUUUGGUGUUGGGGAUCGGCGAGCCUCACGGCAAGCCGGCCCCGAAAUACAGUGGCGGUCUCGCUGCAGCUUCCAUUGCGUAGUAGUAAAACCCUCGCAACUGGUACGCGGCGCGGCCAAGCCGUUAAACCCCCAACUUCUGAAUGUUGACCUCGGAUCAGGUAGGAAUACCCGCUGAACUUAAGCAUAUCAA
RNAcentral lists this ribosomal RNA (535 nucleotides) under Fusarium verticillioides. RNAcentral's name for it is "eukaryotic LSU rRNA". The stretch from base 168 to 321 matches the Rfam family "5.8S ribosomal RNA". The record is from RNAcentral. Lineage: Eukaryota; Fungi; Ascomycota; Sordariomycetes; Hypocreales; Nectriaceae.